Molecule: long non-coding RNA, 472 nt
Organism: Microtus oregoni (creeping vole)
Lineage: Eukaryota; Metazoa; Chordata; Mammalia; Rodentia; Cricetidae
Exons: 3
Source: RefSeq, a predicted model, not a curated record
UGGGUGGGGCGGGUCAGAGCCGCAGAUUGCGUCCUGCACCUAUUGGAUGGCUUAGAGGGAAAGUCGAGGAAGCAGCAGGGAAAUGCCGUUUCAAGUCCUCCGAGUCCCAACCCUGUAAAAAUGUCGCCAUCAAACGGCUUAAAGAAAAUAGUCUCUAAACUCUAAGAGCUGCGGCUGGAGAGAGAGCUCAUCCAGAAUGACCAGACUGUGGGCAGAGAGAACUUGACACUUUCACCCCGAACUCCUGUCCUGCGCAGAAGGGAGAAGGGCUGGAAGCUGAACUGAUUCCUGAUGAAGUCUCUAUGAAAAUCCUCUGAGCUAGAGCUUCAAGCAGCUGGGCUGCAGACCAUCUGAAGGGUCCUGGAGGGUAGUGAACCCAAAGAGGAGCACGGAAGCUCCCUCCGGCUCCCACCUGACCAUACUUUGCCUGUGUACUCUUUCGUAUGUAUCCGUGGUGAUGUCCUUUAUAAUA